CCUACGGGGGGCUGCAGUGGGGAAUAUUGGACAAUGGGGGGAACCCUGAUCCAGCCAUGCCGCGUGUGUGAAGAAGGCCCUCGGGUUGUAAAGCACUUUCAGUGAGGAAGAACGCCUGGUGGUUAAUACCCAUCAGGAAAGACAUCACUCACAGAAGAAGCACCGGCUAACUCCGUGCCAGCAGCCGCGGUAAUACGGAGGGUGCGAGCGUUAAUCGGAAUUACUGGGCGUAAAGCGCGCGUAGGUGGCUUGAUAAGCCGGUUGUGAAAGCCCCGGGCUCAACCUGGGAACGGCAUCCGGAACUGUCAAGCUAGAGUGCAGGAGAGGAAGGUAGAAUUCCCGGUGUAGCGGUGAAAUGCGUAGAGAUCGGGAGGAAUACCAGUGGCGAAGGCGGCCUUCUGGACUGACACUGACACUGAGGUGCGAAAGCGUGGGUAGCGAACAGGAUUAGAUACCCUUGUAGUC
Molecule: ribosomal RNA, 465 nt
Filed under: Vreelandella stevensii
Lineage: Bacteria; Pseudomonadati; Pseudomonadota; Gammaproteobacteria; Oceanospirillales; Halomonadaceae
Description: partial 16S ribosomal RNA
Rfam family: Bacterial small subunit ribosomal RNA
Source: RNAcentral